UGAAGUUCUGAUUGUUUGUUGUCAAAGAGUUUCAGUUUUGUGAUGAAAGAUGUGACCUUUCUUGGCAGCAAGAGUCCUUUCUGAUUGAUUAGUAAACAUGAGCAGGUAAGACGAGGAUAGAGCACUUGCUCAGAGGAUGGUUUUUCACUUGGCACUGCUGUGCCCGGGACCAGGCUCCAAAAGCAAGCACAAGGGAACUCGUUAAGUACAACAGGAUGCGAUUAGUCCCACAUGGGGAGCUCAUGUGUUAUAUCAAAAGAAACAACAACCAGCUGGUAGAACUACUUACAUCAAGGAAAGGAAUGGUGAGGAGGAGAGCUGAGGAGAGCAGUGACCACCAGGAGAGCGAGUACUGGGUAUGAGACAAGAAGCUUUUGGAUCUACGUGGGCAUGACUGCACCCCGGUCAAGGGGACAACGUGACACACAAAGGAGGUGACCCUGCAGCGUGACAGAUCUGAAUGCACGGAGUACAGAUGGAGCAUCUCCGAGGGAUGUGGUCUGAGGAAUCACAAGUGAAAUUGAUGAGAACUUGAUGCAACACCAAGCACUUUUAUCAGAAUUUCAAUGGAAAUUCCAAGCAAAGCAGGUUGGAUGACAAGCACAUGAACACCGACCUUGGGAAGAGCAACUGACCGCUCUUGAAGCAGAUCUGCAAGGACUUAUCGCUUCCAUCUGCGCCACAGAGACAAGGGCACCGUUCUCACCCCAGUUCCACACAGACAUCCCAGAAUUGCCGACAGCCGCUGCGGCCCCAUAGCAAAAUAUUCCUGCAUGUCUCAGCAAGCUUUCCAAGCUGUGCACGCGGGGACGUGCAGCCACACACACGCCCUGUGCAGGUGGCUCCUGGGAACCCAACCGUGAGCUCUCCUUGUUGGGAAAUGGAGAACCUUCCUCCAUUUCAGCAGCUCCUCUACCAAAUUGCACCCCCCAAAAUACAGCUGGGAGAUACACGCAUAUUCAGUUCUGGGGCCUCCAACGCAAGAAGGUUAUGGAGCUGUUGGAGAGGGCUCAGAGGAGGGCCACAAAGAUGAUCAGAGAGCUGGAGCACCUUCCCUAUGGGGACAGGCUAAGAGAGCUGGGGCUCUUCAGCCUGGAGAAGAGAAGGCUCCAGGGGGACUUUAUAGCGGCCUUCCAGGACCUGAAGAGGGCCUACAGGAAAGAUGGGGAGGGACUUUUUAUAAGGGCAGGUAGUGACAGGAUGAGUGGAAACAGUUUUAAACUGGAAGUGGGUAGAUUGAGGCUGGAUAUCAGGAUGAAAUUCUUUACUGUGAGGGUGGUAAGACACAGGAACAGGUUGCCCAGUGAAGCUGUGGAUGACCCCUCCCCAGAGGUGUUCAAGCCCAGGUUGGAUGGGGCUGUGAGCAACCUAGUCUAGAGGGAGGUGUUCCUGCCUAUAGCAGGAGAGUUGAAACUAGAUGAUCUUAAAUGUCUCUUCCAACCCCAAACUGUUCUGUGAUUCUCUCCAGAUGCAUGUUGGUGGUAGGACAUAAGUGCUGCACAGCCCCUUCCAGGAGCACCUGGAGAUGCUUCCAGAAGACUCUGCCUGGACACAGUGUGCUGCUUGACCACAUCUGCCUGUUGUAAAGCGAAGUACCUAAAGCAAGCCAAAUUCAUGGAAGGCGAAGCACUUAUUUAGUGCAAUUUAGCAGUCACCUGUGCACCUGGGAAAUCUGCUUGGUGCUAAAGGUUUGCCUGAGCCCUGGUUCUGUGAGGAUAAAUGAGAACGUGUGUUGGGCAAGAGCAGCAGGAGGCAGCCAGAUCUGCACUGAGCUAACCUCAUCCCACCCAGUAUGCAAGAAAUGUAUCUGUGAAGAACUACUCGUACAACUGUGUUCAUCAGCAAAGACUUACAUUAGUGCACAGCUUCCAUUACGCCUAACUGAAACCAAAGAGAGUCAGCUCGUCUUGGACUUCAUAGCAGAGCCCAGUGAGGAUGAAAGAUCACCCCUUGUUAACAGCAAGGGGCUCAUAGGAGACUGGUGUCAGCAGCAGCAAAAAGGAAGGAGAGCGAGGCGUGCAGGAGCAGAGCAGACAUCCUUCUCACCAUCUCUUCCACGACUGUUGAACUGCUUCCUCUAAGAGAUUAAGAUGACGACCUGUCCUGCUGUCUCCGGGCUGGGAGAUAAGGUCUAUCUCUGCAUCCCAACUGUCCUCGCUGGGGAACUGCAAGGAGUGGUGCUGACAGGAGUGCAGCAAGGGAGGAGAUGGGGAGAGCAGUGAGCAGCAAAUGGAAAAUUCUGGCACUGCGGGGCUGAGCGAGAGUGUCACUGCUGACAUCACUAAAAGUAGGAUCAAACCUGAUCUAAAAAGCAAUUUGGAAUAUGAGCUUUUCUUUCCAAAUGAGCGGUAAGUGCCUUCCUUCACACGGAAUCCGGUGCAGUAAUAGUGGCUUCUAUUACACUUUAAAUUGAUUGGCUUUAUGGCCCAGAACUGGGGAAUUGCCCUAGCCUGAUCUCGGCGGGCUCAUGUUUCUAAUUCUGGCAACUCUAAAUCCGGAUGCCCUGAAAAUCCGUGCUGUUGCUUACAGUGUGUGCUGUUAUCUCCAUUUUCAUGUGUCCGGGCAAAAUAAAGGAGCCGGGAUGCACAGAAGAUUGGCCAAAAGGUGAAAAGGAAACCAGGAAAGCAAGCUAGCGAGUGCAGAAGGAAAAGUUUACAUGCAGAGUUCAUCCAUGUAUAAUCUUGAAUGAUUAUUAGAGAAUGGCUUGGGUUGGAAGGAACCUCCAUGAUCAUCCACUUCCAACCCCAUGCUAUAGACUGGUUGCCAACUGCUAGACCAGGCUGUGCACAGUCCCAACCAGCCUGGCCAUGAAUGCCUCCUUUGUAUUUGCAUUAUCCAAGACCUUUUGUAUGAGAGCGAGGUAGCAUCUCUGUGUCCUUCCAUUGGGGUCUGAAGGACAUGGAUGGAGAGAUGCAGACACCACCACGCUUCUGAGCCCACGUCAAUCCUUUGCACGGCCUGUGUGCAGCCCCAUUUAGGACAUCAGAACCUGUAUUUGUGCCACCAGGUUAAAAAAUAGCCCCACUGAAAGGAAAAGCUUAACAAGGUGCAGCACAUCGGCAUGAAGGAAAGAGCAGCUGAUGGGCUGCAGAGUGACUUGGAGGAGCUCCCACCCUGUGCUGGAGCAGAGCUCAUAACUCCGGCUCACACGGAGGACGUGCCCUGGGGGAAUUAUUCUACCUUUGAUCCGCACACGAAAUCCCAGCUGCUGUCAGAGGAGCCGUGCAUGCCUAACCACGGCUGUACAUCAUCCUAAUAAAGGCCAAAGAGAAGCUCAUAUAUAAAUGGAGUGCAAAGUUUUUUGACACUGGCUCUAAUAAAUAUCAG
Molecule: long non-coding RNA, 3327 nt
Filed under: Gallus gallus (chicken)
Lineage: Eukaryota; Metazoa; Chordata; Aves; Galliformes; Phasianidae
Description: lncRNA (ENSGALG00010001614.1)
Source: RNAcentral